AGAAUCAACGCUGGCGGCGUGCCUAACACAUGCAAGUCGAACGAGAAAGUGGAGCAAUCCAUGAGUAAAGUGGCGCACGGGUGAGUAACACGUGACUAACCUACCCUUGAGUGGGGGAUAACCUAGGGAAACCUGGGCUAAUACCGCAUAAUACCUACGGGUCAAAGGAGCAAUUCGCUUUAGGAGGGGGUCGCGGCCGAUUAGUUAGUUGGCGGGGUAAUGGCCCACCAAGACGAUGAUCGGUAU
This 246-nucleotide ribosomal RNA is filed under the name uncultured bacterium. Its description in RNAcentral is "partial small subunit ribosomal RNA". It matches the Rfam family "Bacterial small subunit ribosomal RNA", at positions 26 to 286 of the family's 1533-position model. The record is from RNAcentral.